Molecule: long non-coding RNA, 735 nt
Filed under: Mus caroli (Ryukyu mouse)
Lineage: Eukaryota; Metazoa; Chordata; Mammalia; Rodentia; Muridae
Description: predicted gene 11455 (MGP_CAROLIEiJ_G0003307.1)
Source: RNAcentral
UGGCUCAGUGUGCUCUCAAGCUUAUUCAGAGAAGGUUGACAGACUUCAUUUUAUUGUUCAUCUAGGUCAGUAAUUCCCAGGAGAGAAAGUUUCUACUUGAGACUUGGAGUUUCAGUAUUCUUGUCUUAAAAAGCCUCCAAAAGAACUGUGAAACACAUAUUGAUUUUGGCCUUGACUUCAGUGUAUCUCAAACGGGCUGAUUCUACAGAACUUGAUUCAAAGCAUUUCUUCUAUGUCUUGAUGCCUUUCUGCCAAGCAAAAUUGAUCAUUUCUGACCAGAAGGCUCUGAGCUGAAGGAAAGUGAGGAGGCUCUCGGCUGCUGCAGGCACACUUUGGCUGUGCGUGUGGGGCUUUUAAUUUUUCUCUUAAGCUCUCCUAGUCACCGUGCUGCGUGUCCCGUUGUUGGGGACCAUUUGGAGGGCACAUUUGGUGCCGUCGCCUAGUCCUGGAGCUUGUAACCGAGAAUCUUUAGAUGUCUGUUUCCUUGGCAUUCUGAUGAGUAGAUACCUGGGGUCUUCCCUGACAGUUGGUUCUUGUGUUCUCUUGUAUCUCGACAUCUGCUGUGGUUGCGUUUGUGGUGCUGAUGUGCCUUCACCAGCAAUGCCUGGUAUGGUUUGUUGUUGGAUAAGAAGUAUGUUUAGUUCCAGUCUGACAACUUCCCUGAGCAUCUAGGACAGUAGUUCUCAACCUGUGGGUCAUGCCCUCUGUAGGGGAAGGGAGGUUCACACAUCAGAC